GUCUCUACGAAAAAUAAUAUACCGUCUAGCCUGCCCAGUGAAUAACUUAAAUGGCCGCGGUAUCCUGACCGUGCAAAGGUAGCAUAAUAAUUAGUUUUUUAAUUGAAAGCUUGCAUGAAUGGCUGGACAAAGAAAAAUCUGUUUCUACUUUUUUUUUAAAAUUUUACUUUUAGGUGAAAAGGCCUAAAUAAACUUAAUAGACGAUAAGACCCUAUAAAUCUUUAUAUGAUCUUUUCUUAUGAGUAAUUAUUUGAGUUUAUUUUUUAUAAAAAAAAGAUAUAUUUUGUUGGGGCGACAAGAAUACUAAAACUGUUCUAAUUUUCAAACAAAAAUUUUUGUCUAUAGUAGAUCCUUCACUGAAGAUUAAAAAUUUAAGUUACUUUAGGGAUAACAGCGUAAUUUUUUUUGAGAGUUCAUAUCGACAAAAAAGUUUGCGACCUCGAUGUUGAAUUAAAGUUUCUUUAUAAUGCAGCAGUUAUAAAAGUAAGUCUGUUCGACUUUUAAAACUUU
RNAcentral lists this ribosomal RNA (510 nucleotides) under Phylladiorhynchus joannotae. RNAcentral describes it as "partial large subunit ribosomal RNA". It matches the Rfam family "Bacterial large subunit ribosomal RNA", at positions 1827 to 2597 of the family's 2925-position model. Lineage: Eukaryota; Metazoa; Arthropoda; Malacostraca; Decapoda; Galatheidae. The record is from RNAcentral.